CGCCCAGGCGCCCCAUGGACACAAUAUUACUGCUGUUCCUGCUCUGUUAAUCUAGUGUGAUGUCUUCAUUUUAUAGAUGAGAAACUGAGGCCCAGAGAGGGCAGAGCUUCAGCCAAGGCCACCCAGCAGGCCACUGGCCCCCUGACCUGGAAAGCAGCGCUCCAGGGUUCUAGCCCAGCUCUGUCACCAGUGACUGGUUGUGUGACCGUGGCCUGGUCUGUUUUCUCUGGACCUCGGUUUUCCUGUUGGUGAACCAACAAGGAAGGCUGGUCAUUCCUCCACCUGCUCCCAGCUCCAUCAGACCAGUGGAGGACACUAUGACCAAGCCCCAAGGCUUGUGCUCAGAGGUCUGGGGCUAGCAGUUGCUGAGGUCACUCAAGGACCCACAGGCACUGAGGACGUGCAGUGGAAUGCUACGUUAGAACAGCCAUCAUGGAAAUAAUUCGAAAAUGGGAAGAGCCCCCCACCAUCCUAGCUGCUGGCUUCGCCUCCCGGCAGCAUCGCUGAAGCACUUGCCAUGGGUCACACACCACGCUUUCCGUGGCUGCUCUCACUGAACCUGCACGACCGGCCAGUGAAGUAGGGACGGGCUGCGGAUAGGGAAACUGAGGCACGGAGCUGUCAGGUCAUCUCCUCAAGUCACACAGCUAGCAUGUGAUAAAGGAGCAUUUCUGAGUAGCCCCUGGUGCCAGCCCUGCCUCAGAGCAGAGACAUAAAACUCCUGAGACGGGGAGAGACAUCACCUUCGUUUUCUGCUGAUUUUCACUGAACUUAGCAGUAAGAGCUAUUUUGGUCACGGCCAUAUGACCCUGAGGCGAGAGUGGCCAACUAUCUCGGUUUGCCUCGGUUUCCUGGGAUGCAGAGCUUUUAGUGCUAAAGCAGGGACAGCCCAUGUGUUGCCCCGGGCAAAUGGAGACAGUCGGUCACCGUAGGGGCACAGAGCACAAUGUGCUUUCCGAGUCAUUGCCUGGUGUUGGACCCCUGCACUCUUUCCCUUCUUGGCUGGUUAG
Molecule: non-coding RNA, 1010 nt
Organism: Puma concolor (puma)
Lineage: Eukaryota; Metazoa; Chordata; Mammalia; Carnivora; Felidae
Source: RefSeq, a predicted model, not a curated record